CGUGUGCCAUGGACUCAGCCGCCCGGUGAUAUUGACAAUAGGAGAGAGAAAGGGGCAUUGACUGGGACCCACCGCGGGUAGCGAAAGGUGGCUCUGGCAGCGGCGGCUCCAGCUCCUGCGGCUCCUCCUCCUUAUUCUGUCCCCUUCUCUUGCUGCCGCUGCAGAUCCAGUCUUCCUCCCUCCCUUCCCCCCCUCCCCACGUCGUCGCCGCCGCCGCCGGGUCCGGGGCAACGAGCUGAGGCGCCGCCCGCCAGGAAUGUGAGCGAGGAGCCACCGGCGGAGCCGCAACGGGGUCGGUGCCGAUUUGAUGGGACGGGCCCGCGGGGGAGGAUCGUGAGGCCGCCGCCGCCACCGGAACGCUGAGGUUCGGGUCCGGCCGUGAGGCCUAGAGGCUCCGCCGCCGCGGAACCGGAGGGACCCCGUACCGGACAGCCGUCGCCCCAGGCUCCCCGCAGCUGCCCGGACCUCCCCCUGCACGUCCCGGUCCCGCCGCCCGCCCCCGCUGCGGCCACCUCGCCCGUCUCCCGCCCCUCCAAGCCACAGAUCAUCUUCGGAUUCUUCCCCAGAAGCUUCAAGUAGGGAUAUGUCCUCAGCACCAACUACUCCUCCAUCAGUGGAUAAAGUAGACGGAUUUUCUCGGAAGUCCGUCAGAAAAGCCAGACAGAAGAGGUCGCAAAGUUCCUCACAGUUUAGGUCUCAAGGCAAGCCUAUUGAGUUAACACCUCUGCCGCUGCUAAAAGGUAUCUUGCAAUAUAUUCAGAACUCUCCCUCCUAGUGACAGCAAUGAAUUUGAUCCAGAAGAAGAUGAACCUACCCUUGAGGCAUCGUGGCCGCACUUACAGCUUGUAUAUGAAUUUUUCAUACGAUUUUUGGAAAGCCAAGAAUUCCAACCCAGCAUUGCCAAAAAAUAUAUAGAUCAGAAAUUUGUAUUACAGCUUCUGGAGCUAUUUGACAGCGAAGACCCUCGGGAACGGGACUACUUAAAAACAGUCUUACACAGAAUUUAUGGCAAGUUUCUUGGUCUUAGAGCAUUUAUCCGAAAACAGAUUAACAAUAUUUUUCUAAGGUUUGUUUAUGAAACAGAACACUUCAAUGGUGUAGCUGAACUGCUGGAAAUAUUAGGAAGUAUUAUCAAUGGCUUUGCUUUACCUCUUAAGGCAGAACACAAACAGUUUCUGGUGAAAGUAUUGAUCCCUUUACACACUGUCAGGAGCUUAUCACUCUUCCAUGCACAGCUGGCAUAUUGUAUAGUACAGUUUCUGGAGAAAGAUCCUUCACUCACAGAACCAGUUAUUAGGGGGUUAAUGAAAUUUUGGCCUAAAACAUGUAGUCAAAAAGAGGUCAUGUUCCUUGGGGAACUGGAAGAAAUAUUGGAUGUGAUUGAACCUUCACAAUUUGUUAAAAUCCAAGAACCUUUGUUUAAACAAAUCGCCAAGUGUGUAUCUAGCCCCCAUUUUCAGGUGGCAGAAAGAGCACUCUAUUAUUGGAAUAAUGAAUACAUCAUGAGUUUGAUAGAAGAAAACUCUAACGUCAUCCUUCCCAUCAUGUUUUCCAGCCUUUAUAGGAUUUCAAAAGAACAUUGGAAUCCGGCUAUUGUGGCGUUGGUGUACAAUGUGUUGAAGGCAUUUAUGGAAAUGAACAGCACCAUGUUUGACGAGCUGACAGCCACAUACAAGUCAGAUCGUCAGCG
RNAcentral lists this small RNA (1690 nucleotides) under Pan troglodytes (chimpanzee). RNAcentral's name for it is "processed transcript". The record is from RNAcentral. Lineage: Eukaryota; Metazoa; Chordata; Mammalia; Primates; Hominidae.